GAGUACUUUCCAUUAGCAUUGAACUGUUGAUUACAUAUAGUAUUAGUUAGAAAAUUAAAUGAAGGCUAAUAAUUAUUAAUACUGUAAUAAUUUAAACCAUUAUAGUAUAAGAUAAACUGGUGGUCAGUAAAGAAUAACAAUGUUUAUCAUUAUCCUAAAUCUUAAUUAAGUCAUUGAACAAACCUUCAGAUCAAUGAGUACCAGAUUGACAAUUAUAUGUAGUUUGCUUGUGUUAUGAUUUAAUCAAAGUGUUGCAUUUGUUUGCAUUUUGUAAUGUUGUUCCUUUGAUAUAGUAACUAAGAGCUAUCUCUAUUUACAAUAACUAUACACAUAUUUUCACACACGAAUUGAUUUUAGAAUCAGAACAUGAGAGCAGAUAAGCAGAUAAUCAAGAACAUUUACAAAAACCAUACACAAAAAUCAGACAAAAAACUUCAUACAAGAAUUUGUUUCAUUUAGUAGCUUCGUACUUGAUUUCUUAUUAGCAGAUUACAACUAUUGAAACAAUAAAUUGUUCUUUAAAGCAAAUCAUCAAACAGUUUCAAGACGUAUACCAAUGAUAAAGAAGCAGGAAAACUAACCUAAUAAGAACGAAGGGGGCGACAAUAGGACACAGUGGCAGUAGCGACGUCGACGAUGGAGGCGGGGUACGUUGACGUCGGCGAGGGCACGGUGACAGUGGCACAAAUCUGGGAGAGGGUGAGUGAUAGUGAGGGAAAGAGAGAUUGAGAUAGGUGAAAUAAAAUCAAAAUCCCUUACCUCUAUCGCAACGAUUUCCAGGCAAUGGCCUGGCGGAGGCAAGCUUCAAUCGCGGCGCCAAGAAAAUGGGGCGAGGGAGUUAAGGCGUCCAAGAGAGUAACUAACGUACGAGAGAAAUAGCGAUUGACGCACUGGAAAUCGGCCUCGCCGUGAGCGACAAUGAACGGCAGUCGCGCCGUGAGAGAGAGUAACUGCCGGCCGUGGAGGAAGAGAGUGAACAUUGGACGGC
Molecule: long non-coding RNA, 988 nt
Filed under: Salvia miltiorrhiza (redroot sage)
Lineage: Eukaryota; Viridiplantae; Streptophyta; Magnoliopsida; Lamiales; Lamiaceae
Description: long non-coding RNA (SMIL_LNC005824)
Source: RNAcentral